UAUUGCUGCAGGAAAUAUCAUGUCAUAGUAUAAGUAAGACUUGGAUAAAGAUAUAGACUUCAUGUAGUUAGAGUAUACUUCAGCACAUUGUACAAAAUUCUAAUAAGCUUUUGAUGGGGGAGCUGCAUAGAGUGCAGGGAGGGAAUCAGUGCACAGGGAAUGGCCCUCUUUGAUUCCCCCACUCUAGCAGAUGUCAGAAACCGGCACUGGCACUGGUAUAUAAUGAUGACCGAUGGGAAGCAAGGAAACAAUCCAGUUGUUGUCAGACCAAGGAUCCAGAUGUUGGCAAAUUUGAAACAAAGAUUCCAGGGACCAGUGGUAUGGAGAUGAACUUGGAGGAGAUCUGCGAAGGAUUGGUUGCCGGGGAAUGAUGGGUUCAGAUGAUGUUGAUCAAAAAGUUACUUGUGAACUAUCUGUGGACAGGUGCAUUCCCACAAGUUACACAGUCCAGAAUCCUGUAGUGAAUCUAGCAAUGCAGAGUUUGAAUCUGCCUAACACGUAGGUAACUGUGGAACACGAGGAAUGCUAGAGAAUGAGGACAUGGAGUCCAUGUCAAAUGGCUAAGCGGAAAUCACAAGAUCAAACAUGAUAUUAUAUGAACAAUAAAAACAGAUUCUUCUUUUUGAAGGAGAAUAAUGGGCUGACCAUCCUCAUGAGUGAGUAUCCCCUUGAGCAGAAUAGGUAACUUUGUAAUUGACUUUAACCAAGCUAUAUCCUGCAUUUUUUUGUAAGCAGCACAAAAUAGUUAUAAAGAAAUUAAAUUAAUUUGAUGGCACAUACAUAUGCUGUUUUUGUGAUAUUUUUCCUGUGAUGGGGCAAAGUUGAUUCAAACACCUAUAUGAGCAUUAAAGCCUGAGUGUUAUUUGAUAUUUUGAUCAGAAAGAAGUUUGAAGGUAAAUGAUGUUUGAGAAUGAGUUUAAUCAGAAAUUUCGUUUUAUUAUUAGUCAAAUCAGAAAUUUCCGUUGUGCCAUUGUAUUUAGAUGAUUGAGUAUACAUUGUGAUUUUAUACCUUCCAACUGAGGGAACUGUCAAAAGUUGAUGAUGCAUAGGCUUCAAGACCCGAGCCGCUGCCCUGCAAACAACAGAUGAUUGAAUUCAUAGAAGCUACUGUAAGGUGUUGUUUUAUCCAGGAGCAUGUGGAUUCAAACAUCCAUAAAGAGGACAAGUGCGGUGGAGAUGAGCCCUUCAAAAUUCUUCAAUGGAGGUAAAAUCAAUCUGCAGCAGUUUUGAAAUGCAAGCUUAUGAAUUCUCAUAUGUGCGGUGUGGAAGGAGUAUAUAUGGAGAUUGAGACAAAUAGGAAGAAGAGAAUACAUAGAUCUGAAAGAAGCGAACAGCAUUGCAGCUAGAGGCAAUUUCCUCUAUCGUGCAGGAUCCAGAGAAUGACAAUCCCUACCACAAUCAAGAGUGACUUCAACAUUAACAUCAGUUUUUAAGCGCACCAGCAGCCUAAAAGGACAAGUCUACGCGGCCAGAAGAGGAAGUUUAGUACCAUUAUGACGUCACAUGCAGCUGCUGCUCUAGCUGUUGCAACUUCCCCUGCAAAAUAUUUCAUUGCCUUCUUGAAUCAGAGCAACACACACACCAAGUUAGGUAAUAGAGGGGGUAACCCCCCCUCCCCCGUCAAGAUGGCUAAGGAUAUAGACUUGUAAUCACCUUCUUGGUUUGAUCUGGUUAGCUAUGGGCAACCUAGACUGGUUUACCUCCUUGAAAGGUGGGGUUUACCCAGUAUUAAUGUUGAAAAAAUUGCUAAGCGCCUGGGGACCGCCUAGGGCGCCUAGGAGGCCGACCGCCUAGCGCCUAAACGUCGAUUAUCGGCUCAUAGGCGCGAUUUUUGCGACAUUGCCCAGUAUACAUCCUCGGGUAGUGGCUACGGGUUUCCCUGGUCACCCCCCAAAAAAGGUUAAGGUAAUAGAGUAAGAAGUACAUACCAUCAGGAUGUGCAAGUUUAUGCCUGUCAGUUGGGGCAAUCAUAAUGGGAGCUGAUGUUUUGUAACCCAGUAUUGUGGUUGACAUAUCAAUUCUGCUCACAUCAAUAAGAACUCUUGGCCGAAUACUGAGACCAGAGAAAGUGGAUGUUCAGAUUCAGAUACAGCUAGCGGUGUUGGAAGCAAACUGGAUUGGAUCGGAAGCGCUA
Molecule: long non-coding RNA, 2134 nt
Organism: Ipomoea nil (Japanese morning glory)
Lineage: Eukaryota; Viridiplantae; Streptophyta; Magnoliopsida; Solanales; Convolvulaceae
Exons: 4
Source: RefSeq, a predicted model, not a curated record